This is a non-coding RNA of Acanthosepion pharaonis, 99 nucleotides long. NCBI's taxonomy places the organism in Eukaryota, Metazoa, Mollusca, Cephalopoda, Sepiida, Sepiidae. The record is from the annotation of a GenBank genome assembly.
GUGGAAACAUCAGUUCCCAUUUAAUCAACAAAGUUAAGCAACAUUGAGUCUGGUCACUACCUAGAUGGGUGACCACUUGGGAAUACUAGGUGCUGUCAG